AGUUCGGACCUGGAGGAUGGAAAUGUUUUAGUUUUACAGUGUUUUAUUUUUCUUCUCAAACUCAUGAAUAUCAGAUUUUUCUCACAGUAAUUAAAUAAGUCGCUCUGACAGCCUCUGACGUUCUCAUCUAUCUCCGCUCUCAGUCCUCAUUAGCCUCAGAGUAAAAACAGAUAUUUUUCCCCGGGUGUCCGGCGUGCUGUUGUAAAAUAAUGAGCUGUAACAAUGACAGUUUUUUUUUUGAGGUUGAGAGCUCCCCAAUGAGCCGCUCCUUUCCUCGCUCUGUCCGGGUUCGCUAAUUGGUCUGUUCAGGCAGGAAGCCCCGCGGCUCCACGAAUCUAUGACGAUAGAUUCGGCGUUUGUUCUGUUUUUUCUGCGUGAUGAUGAUGAUGAUGAUGUUUGGAGGAUUUGGUUAUCAUAAAUGUUGAGGUGGAAACAGGCCGUUGAAACCUUUGAGUCCCCUUGCUGCUCUCUCUUUCUGUUUCACUGGAAUUCAAUUUUCACUUCAUGAUGAAAAGUCGGAAACUGUUCAGUGUUUGUUUUUCGAUUUCCUUAAGAAAUCAGAGGCGAGAGAACGAGGCGGAUACUCCCACUCAGACAGACAAACAUUUGAGGAUCUUGUUGUUUACAGACUCUGACCUGCACUGAUGUGUCUCUGUUUUCUGUUUUUCUAGUAUUUUUCACCUCCUCUGAAG
Xyrichtys novacula (pearly razorfish) is the source of this 692-nucleotide non-coding RNA. Lineage: Eukaryota; Metazoa; Chordata; Actinopteri; Labriformes; Labridae. The record is from the annotation of a GenBank genome assembly.